AGGUAGCGAAAUUCCUUGUCGGGUAAAUUCCGACCUGCACGAAUGGCGUAACGAAUUCCACACUGUCUCCAAUGCAGACUCAGCGAAACUGAAUUCUCCGUGAAGAUGCGGAGUACCCGCGGUUAGACGGAAAGACCCCGUGCACCUUUACUACAGCUUCGCAGUGGCGUUAGCGACGAUUUGUGUAGGAUAGGCGGGAGACUUUGAAGCCAUGGCGCCAGUCAUGGUGGAGUCAUCCUUGAAAUACCGCCCUGAUCCUUGUUGACGUCUAACCGCGAUCCGUGAACCCGGAUCCGGGACCCUGCGUGGUGGGUAGUUUGACUGGGGCGGUCGCCUCCCAAAGAGUAACGGAGGCGCCCAAAGGUUCCCUCAGAAUGGUCGGAAACCAUUCGAAGAGUGCAAAGGCAGAAGGGAGCUUGACUGCGACACCGACGGGUGGAGCAGGUACGAAAGUAGGACUUAGUGAUCCGGUGGUAUUAAGUGGGAAUGCCAUCGCUCAACGGAUAAAAGCUACCCUGGGGAUAACAGGCUUAUCUCCC
RNAcentral lists this ribosomal RNA (539 nucleotides) under Cyclophora tenuis. RNAcentral describes it as "partial Bacterial large subunit ribosomal RNA". It matches the Rfam family "Bacterial large subunit ribosomal RNA", at positions 1954 to 2491 of the family's 2925-position model. Lineage: Eukaryota; Bacillariophyta; Fragilariophyceae; Cyclophorales; Cyclophoraceae. The record is from RNAcentral.